GCCCUUCCCGGCCGCCCGCGCUGCCUGCCCCGCAUCGUUACCCGGGCCCAACGCCGGGCCAAAGUCCUAUCUCAGGGUUUCCCACGUCGCUCGCUCCUUGACGGCUGAGCGACACUGGGUCUGAGGUGUAAGCGCUUUCCAGGCCCUUCCCUGGGGCUUGGAGGGGAAUGGCGCAAAGGACUUUUCUGACAAGCAGAGGUUGGACUCCUGAAAGCCUGGACAGUGUCAUCAUCUUCACCUGAAGAGUGGAAAAAUUCAAGCAAAGAAUUUCUCAGGAAAUGACCAAGUAAAACAUCUGGAGUAAGUCAGCAGGAUUCAAAGUGACUCCCCCGAACCACCUGGUGGUGUUUCUCUCUGAAAGCAGCACUUGGUACCAGUGUGAACUCUCCUCCUUCAGAAGUCCCAUCAGGUGUUUCAGGUGGACGUAAUAUGAGGGUCUGGUCCCCCAUACCUUGAGGACUCUGCUGCCAUCUGACAAUUAGAGACAAUCCAAUUGUCCUCAUCCUUGAGGACUCUGCUGCCAUCUGACAAUUAGAGACAGUCCAAAACAUGCCACACUUUGAUCCUAAACACAUUCCUGGCUUUGGUCACUUUUGAAAAGUUCCUGAAUUAUGAGAAAUCAAUAAUAACAGUGUUCAAAACCUGAACACUCUUUUUAGAAAUACCUGCUGGAAUUACACAUACAAUUAAUGGGGUACUGUCUUGUAGUAUCUGGGAAAGUAGACCCAUCUAACCUGGAAUGAUCAUAGGCAACAAUGACCAAAAAUGGGGAUCUUUUGAUAUACCUAAAGUAAUUUAUUUGUGCACACCAUUGGAAAGAGCUGGUUUUAGAACCAGACAUGUAAAUAGGAGACUUACUUCCACUGGCACCUAAAAACUUCUAAAAGAAAUCCUGAAAGAAAAAAUCGCCUUCAUUCAAGAGGUAAACAAAGAGAUAUUUGAAACUAUUUUAAAAGACUUCAGAGGCUUUCUCCCUUUCACCUCCAGACCCUCCUUUUCCUUCCAGCCCUGUGAUCUGAACUCAUCCCUUUCUGCCUCUUCUCUUGGCUUCCAUACAUCUCUUAGGCAGAGAUGUUUUAAAAUUUCACAAUGUACACAUUUCCUUCUCUUGGGAAAUGAAUUUAAAUUUAGAGCAGAAGGAACAAGCAGAACAACAACAGAAUGGGAAUAAGACUGCUGAGACUAUAAAAAUGCAGAUCCAACAAAAUUUUUUCUAACCAGGUCUAGUGAAUGACACUGUGAUAUGGUCUGGCUCUGUGUUCCCAACCAAAUGUCAUCUCGAAUUGUAAUCCCCACGUGUCGGGGGAGAAGCCUGGUGGGAGGUGAUUGGAUCAUGGAAGCAGUUUCCCCCAUGCUGUUUUCAUGAUAGUGAGGGAGUUCUCAUGAGAUCUGAUGGUUUAAAAGUGUUUGGCAGUUCCCUUUCUGGCUUUCUCUCUCCUGCUGCCUUGUGAAGAAGGUGCUUCCUUCUCCUUCACCUUCCACCCUGAUUUUAAGUUUCCUGAGGCCUCCCCAGUCAUGCAGAACUGUGAGUCAAUUAAACCAAUUUUAUUUAUAAAUUAUCCAGUCUCAGGUAGUUCUUUGUAGCAGAGUGAGAAUGAACUAAUACACACUGAUUUAUUGACCCACUAUCAGACAGUACCCUUUAAAUCUUAUCAUGUCUUUAAAAUGCUAACAUUCAGGGAAUUAGCUAAGCAGCAUUACAGAUGAGAUCAGAUCUAAAACAAGAUAAAAUCCUUAAAUGCUUAAACUGCCUGCUUUGGAUUCCUUGCAAGAUUUACCAAAAAACAAACACACAAACAAAAAAACGAAAACAAAAACAAAGAAAACACCCCAUCCAGUGGUAUAAUGGCUAGGAUUUGGUACUUUCACCACGGUAGCCUGAGUUCAAUUCCUAGCCAGGGAGCUAAUCUCAUUUGUUUUAAAGUAUUGUAUGAUUCUUGACCUUUUGGGAUACCAAUUGUUAUUGAUCCUUAUCCCUUCCAUGGACAACUUUUGAUUUCCUGUCUUUUUCCAUUUGUGGGACAUACAGACCAUUUGGGCCUUCAUGAGUAACCAGCUGAGAAGCUGAGAUCCUAGAAAUCAUGACCAGAUAGAAAUGAAAUUCCUGGAAAAGGACCCUGACAAGUACUCUUGAAUACAGGUUUCUGAUAACUUUGGAGAUCAUAUCACUGGACUAAGUAACAACUUUCAGGAUAUAAUUGGAGACAUUUGUUAUUUUACUAAGGAUUUGACUGGAAUGACAUAUUUUCAGAUAUGACCAGACUGCUUUGAAGAAUGGAGGUUGACUGUACAGAGGCAAUUACAAAGCCUCUUGGAAAGACUGGCCUGGUCCCUUGUCUACAUAGUUCCCUUUCAAGAUUUCUGUCCUGUGUAAAGUAAAGAAUGUCACUUUCUGACAGGCCUGGGAACCUCAAAAUAUUUCCACUGUGUAUCUCUCAUUGUUUUAUUUCUUCUGAGAAAACUAAAUUCAUGGUACACUGAAGAGGUGAUUCCACAAGUGACGGCAGCUAUAAAUCAAUGACUGGUAGGACUACCUGGGAAUGAGCCUUUCUGGCAAUGAGGGAUACCUUGACACUCAGAUUUUGAUCAUCAGUGCUUUCAAAAAGAAAGAUUUUUGAUCACAAGGAAGAAAUGAGAAAAAGAACUUUUAUCUGAAGAAUGCAAGUCCUUUCCAAUUAUCAGGUCCAGAGAGGUAUUAAAAUGAGACUGCAAUCCUGUCCUACACACACCCCCUUUUGAGCCACGUACUCAUCUUUUUAUACUGCUUACUAUUGCCACAAGUAGCUGAAAAUUAGCCUACUGGUGCUGCACCAGACAUUAUAACCCACAUCCUAUAGCUUAAUAAUGGAUAGCCAAUCAAUAGCUUAUGUUAUGUUAAUGUAAAUUAUUGGUAAAUAACUCAGGAACUGCCUCUUCUUUCCUUUUAAAAAUCCACUUGUGGGCUGGGCGUGGUGGCUCAUGCCUGUAAUCCCAGCACUUUGGGAGGCCGAGGUGGGCGGAUCACAAGGUGAGGAGAUCGAGACCAUCCUGGAUAACACGGUGAAACCCUGUCUCUACUAAAAAUACAAAAAAUUAGCUGGGCAUGGUGGCGGGUGCCUGUAGUCCCAGCUACUCGGGAGGCUGAGGCAGGAGAAUGGUGUGAACCCAGGAGGCGGAGCUUGCAGUGAGCCGAGAUGGCACCACUGCACUCCAGCCCGGGCAACAGUGCGAGGCCCUGUCUCAAAAAAAAAGAAAAAAAAAAUCCACUUGUGGCUGGGUGUGGUGGCUCACACUUGUAAUCCCAGCACUUUGGGAGGCUGAGGCGGGCGGAUCACCUGAUGUCAGGAGUUUGAGACCAGCUUGCCCAAUGUGGUGAAACCCCAUCUCUACUAAAAAUACAACAAUUAGCCAGCUGUGGUGGUGGGUGCCUGUAAUCCCAGCUACUUGGGAGUCUGAGGCAGACUCAAGACUUCAAGAAUGUCUUGAACCCAGGAGGUGGAGGUUGCAGUGAGCCAAGAUCACACCAUUGCACUCCAGCAUUGGUGACAAGAGUGAAACUGCCUCCAAAAAAAAAAAAAAAAAAAUCCACUUGUAACUGCAGCUACUCAGAAUGUAUAUUCAGGGCACGUAGAAUCUAUGUUACUGAGUUGCAAUCCUCAAGCUUGUCCCAAAUAAACUCUCUACUUAUAUUAA
Molecule: long non-coding RNA, 3672 nt
Organism: Pongo pygmaeus (Bornean orangutan)
Lineage: Eukaryota; Metazoa; Chordata; Mammalia; Primates; Hominidae
Exons: 6
Source: RefSeq, a predicted model, not a curated record